UGAAAUUUGUAUAUUGAUAUAACAUAUGUAUAAAAGUUAUUUGUACUUUUGUAUGAUAUAAUAUUGACACAAUAAUUUAUGAUGAAACAGAAAAAUAUGCAAUUCAAAAAAGUGUCGGAGCAGGAAUUAUUGUCGCCUGGUUCAAAAAGAACUGUAGGGAGACCACAACUUGUAAAUGGUUUGCUGAUGUGAAAUUCAAGAGGUCUAAGAUUACGUGCAGUACAUGUCCUCGGGAGGAACACAAUA
Molecule: long non-coding RNA, 246 nt
Filed under: Solanum tuberosum (potato)
Lineage: Eukaryota; Viridiplantae; Streptophyta; Magnoliopsida; Solanales; Solanaceae
Description: long non-coding RNA (STUB_LNC006536)
Source: RNAcentral